RNAcentral lists this transfer-messenger RNA (332 nucleotides) under Clostridium punense. It matches the Rfam family "transfer-messenger RNA". Rfam says of the family: Bacterial tmRNA, also known as 10Sa RNA or SsrA, is named for its dual tRNA and mRNA-like properties. The record is from RNAcentral. Lineage: Bacteria; Bacillati; Bacillota; Clostridia; Eubacteriales; Clostridiaceae. RNAcentral also lists the same sequence under 1 other name.
ACUGGUUUCGACGGGGGUACGUGGCACCUAGGAAGCGAGUGGAGGGAACUCAUGGGCCCGCCUUAAAAAACUAUGGGAAUAAAGAUAAACGCAGAAGAUAAUUUCGCGUUAGCUGCUUAGUUCAGCUCGUUCUACCUUUGAGUCCCACGACUUAGGAUAGGGCGUCAUUUAGUGGGGAACCGAGCUUAGGAAAGCUUUGACUUAAGAACGGAAUUAAUGAAGCUACUGAAGUGAAAAGCCUGUUCGUCGGCGUUUCAUGGAGGGAAUGUUAAAAGAUGAACUGCACUCGGAGAUGCCUAGUUGUGAUGGCUUUCGGACAGGGGUUCGAUUCA